AUUGAACGCUGGCGGCAUGCCUUACACAUGCAAGUCGAACGGCAGCACGGGUGCUUGCACCUGGUGGCGAGUGGCGAACGGGUGAGUAAUACAUCGGAACAUGUCCUGUAGUGGGGGAUAGCCCGGCGAAAGCCGGAUUAAUACCGCAUACGAUCUACGGAUGAAAGCGGGGGACCUUCGGGCCUCGCGCUAUAGGGUUGGCCGAUGGCUGAUUAGCUAGUUGGUGGGGUAAAGGCCUACCAAGGCGACGAUCAGUAGCUGGUCUGAGAGGACGACCAGCCACACUGGGACUGAGACACGGCCCAGACUCCUACGGGAGGCAGCAGUGGGGAAUUUUGGACAAUGGGCGAAAGCCUGAUCCAGCAAUGCCGCGUGUGUGAAGAAGGCCUUCGGGUUGUAAAGCGCUUUUGUCCGGAAAGAAAUCCUUGGCCCUAAUACGGUCGGGGGAUGACGGUACCGGAAGAAUAAGCACCGGCUAACUACGUG
This 486-nucleotide ribosomal RNA is filed under the name uncultured bacterium. RNAcentral describes it as "partial 16S ribosomal RNA". It matches the Rfam family "Bacterial small subunit ribosomal RNA", at positions 30 to 507 of the family's 1533-position model. The record is from RNAcentral.